CGCUUUUGCGGAUUUCUUCGGAUUGAAGCAACUGUGACUGAGCGGCGGACGGGUGAGUAACGCGUGGGUAACCUACCUCAUACAGGGGGAUAACAGUUGGAAACGGACUGCUAAUACCGCAUAAGCGCACAGUACCGCAUGGUACCGUGUGAAAAACUCCGGUGGUUAUAGAUGGACCCGCGUCUGAUUAGGUAGUUGGUGGGGUAACGGCCUACCAAGCCGACGAUCAGUAGCCGACCUGAGAGGGUGACCGGCCACAUUGGGACUGAGACACGGCCCAAACUCC
This 286-nucleotide ribosomal RNA is filed under the name uncultured Lachnospiraceae bacterium. RNAcentral describes it as "partial 16S ribosomal RNA". It matches the Rfam family "Bacterial small subunit ribosomal RNA", at positions 67 to 339 of the family's 1533-position model. Lineage: Bacteria; Bacillati; Bacillota; Clostridia; Lachnospirales; Lachnospiraceae. The record is from RNAcentral.